This 496-nucleotide ribosomal RNA is filed under the name uncultured bacterium. Its description in RNAcentral is "partial 16S ribosomal RNA". It matches the Rfam family "Bacterial small subunit ribosomal RNA", at positions 29 to 507 of the family's 1533-position model. The record is from RNAcentral.
AUGCACGCUGGCGGCGUGCCUAAUCCCUGCCAGUCGCGCGAACAGACGAGGAGCUUGCUCCUCUGACGUUAGCGGCGGACGGGUGAGUAACACGUGGAUAACCUACCUAUAAGACUGGGAUAACUUCGGGAAACCGGAGCUAAUACCGGAUAAUAUAUUGAACCGCAUGGUUCAAUAGUGAAAGACGGUUUUGCUGUCACUUAUAGAUGGAUCCGCGCCGCAUUAGCUAGUUGGUAAGGUAACGGCUUACCAAGGCAACGAUGCGUAGCCGACCUGAGAGGGUGAUCGGCCACACUGGAACUGAGACACGGUCCAGACUCCUACGGGAGGCAGCAGUAGGGAAUCUUCCGCAAAGGGCGAAAGCCUGACGGAGCAACGCCGCGUGAGUGGUGAAGGUCUUCGGAUCGUAAAACUCUGUUAUUAGGGAAGAACAAAUGUGUAAGUAACUAUGCACGUCUUGACGGUACCUAAUCAGAAAGCCACGGCUAACUACGUG